RNAcentral lists this long non-coding RNA (219 nucleotides) under Vigna radiata. RNAcentral describes it as "long non-coding RNA (VRAD_LNC016310)". Lineage: Eukaryota; Viridiplantae; Streptophyta; Magnoliopsida; Fabales; Fabaceae. The record is from RNAcentral.
UGGGCUAUCAAGAAAAUUGGUUUUUCUGGAAUACAAAUUCCUUGAGUUAAGAGAGUUCAAAUCAUCAUUAAAGUUCAAGCACACUCUCUUUUUAACCAAUCUCACCCAUUCCCAAAUUUUCCCUUUUUCAUUUUACAUUGAGUUCUUUUUACAUGCAUAAACUCUUUUCAUUUUUCUUUUUCAUUCUUUGGAACUCAAUGCUUUUCUUUUUCUUUUUCC